RNAcentral lists this ribosomal RNA (508 nucleotides) under uncultured bacterium. RNAcentral's name for it is "partial 16S ribosomal RNA". It matches the Rfam family "Bacterial small subunit ribosomal RNA", at positions 30 to 523 of the family's 1533-position model. The record is from RNAcentral.
AUUGAACGCUGGCGGCAUGCCUUACACAUGCAAGUCGAACGGCAGCGGGGGAGAAGCUUGCUUUUCCUGCCGGCGAGUGGCGAACGGGUGAGUAAUACAUCGGAACGUGCCCAGUCGUGGGGGAUAACGUAGAGAAAUUUACGCUAAUACCGCAUACGAUCUAAGGAUGAAAGCGGGGGACCGUAAGGCCUCGCGCGAUUGGAGCGGCCGAUGUCAGAUUAGGUAGGUGGUGGGGUAAAGGCCUACCAAGCCGACGAUCUGUAGCUGGUCUGAGAGAACGACCAGCCAGACUGGGACUGAGACACGGCCCAGACUCCUACGGGAGGCAGCAGUGGGGAAUUUUGGACAAUGGGCGCAAGCCUGAUCCAGCCGUUCCGCGUGCAGGAUGAAGGCCCUCGGGUUGUAAACUGCUUUCGUACAGAACGAAAAGCUCUGGGUUAAUACCCUGGGCUCAUGACGGUACUGUAAGAAUAAGCACCGGCUAACUACGUGCCAGCAGCCGCCGUAA